AAAAAAGAGAAAUUUAUAUCUUUAAAAAAUAUUUUUAAAGCAUAAUAAAAGUGAUUUAUGUUUGAAAAGGAAAUUUGUCUGCAGAAAUAUUCUACAUCAUUUCUAAAGCACUUGACAAUCAUCAGUUCAUCACCUAGAGUUUGUUUUAAGUCAGGUUAAAUAUGCUAAAAAAUUGAAAUAUAUUUUAUUGUUGUAGCAAGUUUUUCAAGAGUGAGUUAUUGAUUAUUGAUUGUAGCAUGAAUUAUACAUUUACUAUAGCUUGUUGUAGCAAUUUCAAAUGUGAAUUAUUGAUUGAUGCGUGAAAUAUUUUUCUUAAACUGAAUGAAACAAAUACCAAGAACUUAACAAGUCAGUUACGGAAUCUAGUUAAUAGAGUCAUUCUUGGGUUCACCCCCUAGGAUUUCAUUAUUUUAAAUUCGAUAUCUUUUAAAAAAAAACAAAAUAUUCUCAAAUUAUAUUAUGUUUUUAAAAUAAAAAAGUAAAAAAAGAUAAUAGUUACAGAAAAAGAAUUAAAAAAAAAUAUCUUUAAUGUUCUCAACAAAACACUAAACCUUAAAUUCUAAUCCCUAAACCCUAAAUCCUAAACCCUAAACCCUUGGGUAAACCCUAAACCCUUGGGUAAACCCUAAACCUUUGGAUAAAUCCUAAACUCUAAAUAAAAAACACUAAAACCCUAAACCCUAAACGCUUGAAUGUUUUAGUGUAUAGUGAUUUUGAUUUAGAGUUUAGGAUUUAUCCUAGAGUUUAGGAUUUAUCCUAAAGUUUAGAGUUUAUCCAAGGGUUUAGGAUUAAGAGUUUAGGAAUUAGAAUUUAGGGUUUAGGGUUUAAUGUUAUGUUGAAGACGUAAAAUAUUUUUUUUUUGUAAUUAUUACUAUUUUUUUUUACCUUUUAAUUUUAAAAACAUAACAUAAUUUGACAAUAUUUUGUUUCCUUUUUUAAAAGAUAUCGAAUAUAAAAUAAAACAAUCCUAUUGGUUGGUGAACUUAGAGGUUCACUCUAGGGGGUGGACCUAAGAAUAAGUCUAGUUAAUAUGUGACUUGGAUUUAUUAUGUUUGAAAACAACCACAAAGCCAGGAAAAUACAGAUCCAUCAAUUUGUGUCAAAUUAGAGAGAAAUACAUGUACCAGCAAUGAUACUCAGAAUACCAAAAAGAAGAAAUACAUUUUUUUUAAUGAAAUGUUAAAUUUAUUUAUCAUCAUGCCAAGAGGGGUUUAUGUACAAGUAAAAAAAAAAAAAAAAGAGAGCUACAUCUGAAAAAAAUUAGCUGUGUACGCUGAACCAGUGUUGGAGAAGACCUCUUGUUCUCGGAUAGAUGUUGUACUCUGUACACAUACUUUUAACAAAGAAAUAAUAUUUUCUAUUGAGAAAAAGACCAAAAUAGCACUAAAUCAAGUUUUUGUUUUCAAACUAUCACUCAAGG
This 1420-nucleotide long non-coding RNA is filed under the name Brassica rapa (field mustard). RNAcentral describes it as "long non-coding RNA (BRAP_LNC007764)". The record is from RNAcentral. Lineage: Eukaryota; Viridiplantae; Streptophyta; Magnoliopsida; Brassicales; Brassicaceae.